UACGGAGGGUGCAAGCGUUAUCCGGAUUCACUGGGUUUAAAGGGUGCGUAGGUGGGCAGGUAAGUCAGUGGUGAAAUCUCCGGGCUUAACCCGGAAACUGCCAUUGAUACUAUCUGUCUUGAAUACCGUGGAGGUGAGCGGAAUAUGUCAUGUGGCGGUGAAAUGCUUAGAUAUGACAUAGAACACCAAUUGCGAAGGCAGCUCACUACACGAAUAUUGACACUGAGGCACGAAAGCGUGGGGAUAAAACAGG
RNAcentral lists this ribosomal RNA (253 nucleotides) under uncultured bacterium. RNAcentral's name for it is "partial 16S ribosomal RNA". It matches the Rfam family "Bacterial small subunit ribosomal RNA", at positions 524 to 776 of the family's 1533-position model. The record is from RNAcentral.